CAGUCGCCGCGGUAAUACGUAGGUGGCAAGCGUUGUCCGGAAUUAUUGGGCGUAAAGGGCUCGCAGGCGGUUUCUUAAGUCUGAUGUGAAAGCCCCCGGCUCAACCGGGGAGGGUCAUUGGAAACUGGGAAACUUGAGUGCAGAAGAGGAGAGUGGAAUUCCACGUGUAGCGGUGAAAUGCGUAGAGAUGUGGAGGAACACCAGUGGCGAAGGCAACUCUCUGGUCUGUAACUGACGCUGAGGAGCGAAAGCGUGGGGAGCGAACAGGAUUAGAUACCCCUGUAGUCCCUGUCUCUUAUAC
Molecule: ribosomal RNA, 301 nt
Filed under: uncultured bacterium
Lineage: Bacteria
Description: partial 16S ribosomal RNA
Rfam family: Bacterial small subunit ribosomal RNA
Source: RNAcentral